This 683-nucleotide long non-coding RNA is filed under the name Homo sapiens (human). Its description in RNAcentral is "non-protein coding lnc-RPL7-4:1". The record is from RNAcentral. Lineage: Eukaryota; Metazoa; Chordata; Mammalia; Primates; Hominidae.
AUGUCUUUCUUCCAGAACCCAAGUUUCCUCACCAUGGGCAUGUGGUCCCUCGGUGCAAGAGCCCUGGGGGCUGCUGCCUUGGCAUUGUUGCUGGCCAACACAGACAUGUUUCUCUCUAAGCCCCAGAAAGCGGCACUGGAGUACCUGGAGGAUAUAGACCUGAAAAUGCUGGAGAAGGAACCAAGGACUUUGAAAGCAAAGCAGCUAUGGGAAAAGAAAAUGGACCUGUGAUUAUGGCUGUGCGGAGGCCAGGCUGUUUCCUCUGUUGAGGGGAAGCUGCGGAUCUGUCCUCCCUAAAACCCAUGUGGACGAGCUGGGUGUCCCCCUCUAUGCAGUGGUAAAGGAGCACAUCAGGAAUGAAGUGAAGGAUUUCCAGCCUUAUUUUAAAAGAGAAACCUUCCUGGAUGAAAAGAAAAAGUUCUAUGGUCCACAAAGGCAGAAGAUGAUGUUUAUGGGAUUUAUCUGUCUGGGAGUGUGGUACUUCUGAGCCUGGAAUGGAGGCUUCUCUGGAAACCUGGAAGGAGAAGGCUUCAUCCUCAGGGAAGUUUUCGUGGUGGCAUCAGGAAACCAGGGGAUUCUUCUCGAGCACCGAGAAAAAGAAUUUGGAGACAAAGUAAACCUACUUUGUCUGGUUCUGGAGGCUGCUAAGAUGAUCAAACCACAGACUUUGGCCUCAGAGAAAA